Molecule: ribosomal RNA, 253 nt
Filed under: uncultured bacterium
Lineage: Bacteria
Description: partial 16S ribosomal RNA
Rfam family: Bacterial small subunit ribosomal RNA
Source: RNAcentral
UACGGGGGGGGCAAGCGUUGUUCGGAAUUACUGGGCGUAAAGGGCUCGUAGGCGGCCAACUAAGUCGGACGUGAAAUCCCUCGGCUUAACCGGGGAACUGCGUCCGAUACUGGAUGGCUUGAGUUUGGGAGAGGGAUGCGGAAUUCCAGGUGUAGCGGUGAAAUGCGUAGAUAUCAGGAGGAACACCUGUGGUGUAGACAGCUUACUGGACCACUUCUGACGCUGAGACACGAAAGCGUGGGUAGCAAACAGG